UACGUAGGGUGCGAGCGUUGUCCGGAAUUAUUGGGCGUAAAGGGUCCGCAGGUGGGAUGGUACGUCUGAUGUGACAGCGCCUGGCUCAACUAGGCGUGGGCAUUGGAAACGGCUGUUCUUGAGUCACAGAGAGGGGUGCGGAAUUCCCGUGGUAGCGGUGAAAUGCGUAGAUAUCGGAAGAACGACCAGCGGCGGAAGCGAGCUGUACUGGGCCGACACUGACACUGAGA
This 230-nucleotide ribosomal RNA is filed under the name uncultured bacterium. RNAcentral describes it as "partial 16S ribosomal RNA". It matches the Rfam family "Bacterial small subunit ribosomal RNA", at positions 524 to 751 of the family's 1533-position model. The record is from RNAcentral.